GGAAUCUGAUAUGUGAAGAGUUAAGGCAUUGCCAGUGGUCUGGAGGCUGAGUCGUGAUGGAGCUGAGAUUCAAACCCAGGCAUUUUGCUUCAUUGCUCACGUGUUGUCAUCUUGACUACAAAUGAGGAAUCUUGCAGAAGGGGAGAUCAUGAACAAAGUUGGUAGUUUUUGAGAAGCUGCUCUUGAAGACAUGUCUAUCCUGUCUUGCUGUGAUCCCCCUCCCCCAACUUCUUGAGUUGCUUCUCUCUGGGGAGAUAUUAAAGGAGCAGAAUUCCAGCUUGGGAGAGAAGUGUAGCCCUCAGCAGCAGCCUGCUCUGUCCUGGACCAGCUAAGUGGAUUCCUCUUUGGGACAGAGAGAAGUCCGGUUUCUAUGACAAUCCAUGGCCGUUCUGCCAAGACUGCCAGCCAGGGUGCCUGGCAGUGCUAAUUGCUAUGCAGACAUCCGUUCAUUAGACUUUGACCUAGAAUUACUAUCAUCUUUCACAAGAAUUCUGGAGAGAACUACAGAUGCUGAGUGCUUUACUUCAGUUAGCCUAAGAUAAAAUACCCAGGAGGAGGUCUACUGUGAGUAAAAUAAGCUGUGUAAGAACAUGAAGUUCAGUUCCUGGCUCACAAUCUGAAGCCCAGUAUAUGUUUAAAAUAACAUUAUCCUGGACCCGUUAGGAAGGACUUCUGCUCUCAUAAAUGGCCAAUGACCAUUUAUAACCCAGAAGAUUAAUUUAGACAACCAAGGCCAAGAAUGAAAAAGAAUGAAAGAAGUGAAAGAAUUUGAUUAAGAGUAGUCUGACACGUCCUCUCUUUCUCAUGCUCUGCUAAGUGAUUUGACCCCUUCUCGGAAUGACCUGCAACCAGACUUAAUUUGAAGAGCUCAGAGAUAACAAAUUGCCAAUAACCAGGGCAUUUCAUGGCUGGUCUCACUAGACUGGUGACUAAGCUAAUUUUCAACAGCUGGAAGGACUUACCUCUCACACAUAAAUCAUGUAUAGUUCAGACAUUAUGGAGAAAAUCAUUCUGAAAAACAGACUAUACACCUUCUGUAAGUGAAGUGUGAUUUAGGAUUAUUGAGGAAGAAUUCUGAGACUUUUAUUGAACAUAUUUUUGUUUUAGGUCACAUUUUUAUUUGCUCAUAGUAAUCGCUUAUUGAUAACUAAAUAGAUAGCAUUUAACACGAUGGUUGUACUAGAUACUUUAUCUUCUUCAGCACUUUUGGAAUGAAUUUGUUUUAAAAAUCAAAUGGAUCACACCA
Leopardus geoffroyi (Geoffroy's cat) is the source of this 1246-nucleotide long non-coding RNA. RefSeq lists it as uncharacterized. NCBI's taxonomy places the organism in Eukaryota, Metazoa, Chordata, Mammalia, Carnivora, Felidae. The record is from RefSeq and is a predicted model, not a curated record. The transcript has 5 exons.